Molecule: ribosomal RNA, 1956 nt
Filed under: human metagenome
Description: bacterial LSU rRNA
Rfam family: Bacterial large subunit ribosomal RNA
Source: RNAcentral
UCAAGUUAUUAAGGGUGUAGGGCGGAUGCCUUGGCACUAGGAGCCGAUGAAAGACGUGAUAAGCUGCGAUAAGCUUCGGGGAGUGGCACAUACACUUUGAUCCGGAGAUUUCUGAAUGAGGAAACUCACUUGGAGUAAUGUCCAAGUAUCCAUAGGUGAAUACAUAGCCUAUGGAGGGGAACUCAGGGAACUGAAACAUCUAAGUACCUGAAGGAAGAGAAAGAAAUUCGAUUCCGCUAGUAGCGGCGAGCGAACGCGGAAGAGCCCAAACCAAGUCAGUUUACUGAUUUGGGGUUGCGGACAUAUCUUAAGGAAAGGUUAUUGCGAGUAGAAUAGGUCUGGAAAGACCAACCAUAGAGGGUAAUAGUCCCGUACACAAAGCCAAGAAAGUUCUUGAUAUGAUCCAGAGUACCACGAGACACGUGAAACCUUGUGGGAAGCAGGGGGGACCACCCCCCAAGGCUAAAUACUACCUAGUGACCGAUAGCGAAUAGUACCGUGAGGGAAAGGUGAAAAGAACCCCGGGAGGGGAGUGAAAUAGAACCUGAAACCCUACACUUACAAGCUGUGGGAGCGCAUUAUUCGCGUGACCGCGUACUUUUUGUAGAACGGGCCAACGAGUUACGUUAUGUGGCAAGGUUAAGCACUUAAGGUGUGGAGCCGAAGCGAAAGCGAGUCUUAACUGGGCGCCAUAGUCACAUGACGUAGACCCGAAACCGGGCGACCUACCCAUGAGCAGGAUGAAGCGAAAGUAAAAUUUCGUGGAGGUCCGAACCCACGUACGUUGAAAAGUGCGGGGAUGACUUGUGGGUAGCGGUGAAAUUCCAAUCGAGCUCGGAGAUAGCUGGUUCUCCCCGAAAUAGCUUUAGGGCUAGCCUUGAAAUUUAGAGAUGUGGAGGUAGAGCACUGAAUGUCCUAGGGGGUAUUGCACUUACCGAAGACUAUCAAACUCCGAAUGCCAUUAUCUUUUGUUCAGGAGUCAGACUAUGGGUGAUAAGGUUCAUAGUCGAAAGGGAAAGAGCCCAGACCGUCAGCUAAGGUCCCUAAAUGUAUGUUAAGUGGUAAAGGAUGUGGGAUUGCACAGACAACCAGGAUGUUGGCUUAGAAGCAGCCACUCAUUUAAAGAGUGCGUAAUAGCUCACUGGUCGAGUGAUCCUGCGCCGAAGAUUUCCGGGGCUAAAACAUACUACCGAAGCUACGGCAUCAUAUGAUGAUGGGUAGGGGAGCUUCCCAUGCAGGCUGAAGCGAUACCGUAAGGAGUCGUGGACAGUAUGGGAGAGAGAAUGUUGGCAUGAGUAGCGAGAUGAGGGUGAGAAUCCCUCAGGCCGUAAACCCAAGGUUUCCAGGGGAAGGUUCGUCCUCCCUGGGUUAGUCGGGACCUAAGCUCAGGCCGAAAGGCGUAGGCGAUGGACAACAGGUUGAGAUUCCUGUACUACCGAUAAUCGUUUGAGAGAAGGGAUGACACAGUAGGAUAAGCUGAGCACACUGUUGGUUAUGUGUGUCUAAGCGUUGAGGCAGACUAGAUAGGCAAAUCCGUUUAGUUAAUGCUGGGGCGCGAUGGGGAGCGAAACUAAGUAGCGAAGCAGCUGAUUUCACACUGUCGAGAAAAGUCUCUAUCGAGAUUAAAGGUACCCGUACCGCAAACCGACACAGGUGGGUGAGGAGAGUAUCCUAAGGCCAGCGAGAGAACUGUUGUUAAGGAACUCGGCAAAAUGACCCCGUAACUUAGGGAUAAGGGGUGCCCCAGCAAUGGGGCCGCAGAGAAUUGGCCCAAGCGACUGUUUACCAAAAACAUAGGUUUCUGCUAAGUCGCAAGACGAUGUAUAGGAGCUGACGCCUGCCCGGUGCUGGAAGGUUAAGGGGAUCUGUUAGAGCAAUCGAAGCAGUGAUCUUAAGCCCCAGUAAACGGCGGCCGUAACUAUAACGGUCCUAAGGUAGCGAAAUUCCUUGUCGGGU